GACGAACGCUGGCGGCGUGCUUAACACAUGCAAGUCGAACGGAAAGGCCCUGCUUUUGUGGGUGCUCGAGUGGCGAACGGGUGAGUAACACGUGAGUAACCUGCCCUUGACUUUGGGAUAACUUCAGGAAACUGGGGCUAAUACCGGAUAGGAGCUCCUGCUGCAUGGGGGGGGUUGGAAAGUUUCGGCGGUUGGGGAUGGACUCGCGGCUUAUCAGCUUGUUGGUGGGGUAGUGGCUUACCAAGGCUUUGACGGGUAGCCGGCCUGAGAGGGUGACCGGCCACAUUGGGACUGAGAUACGGCCCAGACUCCUACGGGAGGCAGCAGUGGGGAAUAUUGCACAAUGGGCGGAAGCCUGAUGCAGCAACGCCGCGUGCGGGAUGACGGCCUUCGGGUUGUAAACCGCUUUCGCCUGUGACGAAGCGUGAGUGACGGUAAUGGGUAAAGAAGCACCGGCUAACUACGUG
This 467-nucleotide ribosomal RNA is filed under the name uncultured bacterium. RNAcentral describes it as "partial 16S ribosomal RNA". It matches the Rfam family "Bacterial small subunit ribosomal RNA", at positions 28 to 507 of the family's 1533-position model. The record is from RNAcentral.